UGAAACAUGUUUUUCUUUAAUAAAAUGAAAAGAAAGGAUUUAGUCUUGAAGCCCUGUUUUAAAUCUUCGGUCUUGAGCGAAUGGGAAGGGCGCCGGUGGCAGCCCGCCUCAUCUGCUGCUGCUGUCGACGGUGGCGUGGUGGCUGCGACGCCGAGGGUGGCGCGGCUUGUCGCUGCUGCUCCUCCGGCGAGCACCACGGAGGGCGGCUGUUACCAGCCGAAGAGAGAAAGGCAGAGAGGGCGAUGGAAGAGAGGUGUGCUGACGGUGGUGGCGUGGAGCCACUGACCGCGGCUGCCGAACCUAGAACAGGGGGAGUUGAGAGAGCUGGGGUUGAGAAUCGAGGGAGGACGGAAGAGGGAGGAUUGGCGACGGCGGCGGUGGCUUGAUGCUCCUGCUUCUCGUCGAUUCAGAGAGAGUCGGAGUCACCGGUCGGCGGCAGCUUUUGUUGUUGCGUCGCCGGAGAAUAGAGAGAGUAUGAGGGAUGGCGUCUGUGGGUGUUGGUGCGAUGAGGGAGAUGAGAGAGGGGAGAGCCGAGCGUCGUCAGCGGCUGCCGCUGUUGCUCCGGCAAGCUUCGGCGGCGAUGGUGGCGGCAUGAAGCUGCUGCCGUCGGCCAGAGUUGAGCAAGGGCUCGGCGAGCCUGAAUCCGAGAGGGAGACAGAGACGGUGGUUGGUUCCAGAUGCUGCGGCUGUCGGGUUGUGCAGGUAGAGGGAAAACGAGGGAGAGGGAGAGGUCCAGUCGCCGGCUCUUCGCCGGAGGAAGGCUGCGGCGGCGGGUUGGCGUGAACCGUGAGAGAGAGAGAGAGAGAGAUUCAGCUUUUGUGUGAGUGUGUGCGUGUGUUUUUCG
RNAcentral lists this long non-coding RNA (844 nucleotides) under Salvia miltiorrhiza (redroot sage). Its description in RNAcentral is "long non-coding RNA (SMIL_LNC011442)". The record is from RNAcentral. Lineage: Eukaryota; Viridiplantae; Streptophyta; Magnoliopsida; Lamiales; Lamiaceae.